CAGCAGCCGCGGGAAUACGUAGGUGGCAAGCGUUGUCCGGAAUUAUCGGGCGUAAAGGGCUCGCAGGCGGUUUCUUAAGUCUGAUGUGAAAGCCCCCGGCUCAACCGGGGAGGGUCAUUGGAAACUGGGAAACUUGAGUGCAGAAGAGGAGAGUGGAAUUCCACGUGUAGCGGUGAAAUGCGUAGAGAUGUGGAGGAACACCAGUGGCGAAGGCGACUCUCUGGUCUGUAACUGACGCUGAGGAGCGAAAGCGUGGGGAGCAAACAGGAUUAGAUACCCCAGUAGUCCCUGUCUCUUAUAC
RNAcentral lists this ribosomal RNA (301 nucleotides) under uncultured bacterium. RNAcentral's name for it is "partial 16S ribosomal RNA". It matches the Rfam family "Bacterial small subunit ribosomal RNA", at positions 509 to 807 of the family's 1533-position model. The record is from RNAcentral.